UACUUAACAAAGUACAAACUGUAUGAAAAUAAAGAAAUGAGGGGUAAAACCCAAAAUACACAAUGACUAUAAAUUUAACAAAAUACACAAACAUCAGUAAUUUAACUAAACAUAAUCCCCCAAAAGGAGGGACAAACUAAUUCAACAGUUUCCUAAAUAAAAACGUCCCUGCUAACAACAAGCAAACAAACAAAUCAAGACAAAGCCCAAUCAACUUUAAAGAGACUCCUCUGAGCCAAGAUGGAGUCAGCAAGCAGGUGAGCACACAAAAAUAACCAAGCUUCCCAACGAGCAGGCAUACAAAAUACCCAAGCUUCCCAACAAGCAGGUAAGCAUACAAAAAUAACCAAGCUUCAAAAUUUCACAACACCAAAGUCAGAAGUGGCGAGCUGUUCUGUCCAAAUACCAGCUGCCUUUAGUGGCAGGUGCAGAGUUUAUAUAAUGUAGUCCCUUCUUGAUUGGCGGCGUCCAGCAGGAGGAGUGCAGAGCGCGCAGGGAGAUCAGAGUCCGUCAGGAACAGCGAAGAAGAGUGUAUCCAGCAAAGAAGAAAUCCGAUCCCAUCAGAAACAGCGGUACCCAUAGCACGGAGGAAAACGGUGCUUUUCAGCGACAUCGGCUGGCCAGUCUGUUGAUGAAGGAGAAAGAAGAAGAAUGGACUUCAGUCACCAUUAUUGGCGUGUUAGAGUCUGAAGAAUGCAGCUCAGACACCUUUUAUGAGCUGUGCCUUGAAGAUGGAAGGACCCUCUUCAUUGACCACAAGAAUGGCAGCCUUUGGACACAGAGCAAAAGAAAGGGAAAGGCCCUUUCUUCAUUAAAGGCAAAAGAAUUGUAGAGAUUAAUCUGAAAAUAUGAAUUCUUGAUAUGAUGUAUUUUUUGGUGUUCAGGAGGAAAGGUAUUUAUCUGUACUGUUUUUAAUAUUGUGUUCUUUUUUCAUGUAUUUUAAUGUUAAAAUAUUAAAUUGAUAUAUUUUUUUAAAUGAUUCAUUCAUUCAUUUUUCUAUACCACUUAUUUCAUAGUGGGACCUUCUUGCUGCAAGGCAACAGUGCUACCAACUGCACUAAAAAAACAAGCAAUUUAAGGAGAGUCAUUAUGAAAGCAAAUGAAAAAUUAUUGGAGGAUCUUCUGUGACAUGAUUGGGAAAGAAACCAAAACUAAUAAAGAUUGGAAAGUAAUUAAAAUUGAAUUAAAAACAAUAUGCAUAUCAAUCUUAAACGUAGGUAACACAAAUAUAUUUAAAGAUGAAGAAACAACUGAAAUACUAGCCGAAACAUUUAGCUAAAUUCAUAAUAUCAACAUCAUUAGUAACGAGGGAAGUAAACACAACUUAAUAUAUACUUUCAGAGAGCUUCCCUGAUGUUCAUCCCUUACUUUAUAAUUGUAAGAAGCAGGGUUGCUGCUACGUUUGAUAUUUAAACUGGGUUUCUGUUGCAGGACCGUACAUCACAGGAGGAUGAGUUGAUGCUUUGCUUUUACUUUCUUUUCUCCAUUUUCAUCAAGUGAUGCUCUACAACCAAGACAGCUAGAUGGGUGUGAAUAUGGUGUUCACCAAAUGAAAGAAAUUAUUUAAAGAAAGCAGGGAACUGCUAUAAUAAAUAGCAACCUAAGCACAGGCAGUGACAUUUUAAUUUUAUUGUAUUCAGUGUUGGUACGGAGGACUGAAAGAUGCAAUGGUGUGGCCCCUCCUGACAUCUAGGCCUCUUCUUUUCCCCCAAGAUGUGAGAAAUUCUGUUUACAGCACAGGGAAUUAGGUUAUUUCCACAUAACAUUAACCUUAGAUUAAUUUUUGAUUGUGCUAUACAUAAAAUAUACAGUAUUUAUGCCUCUGCAUCUACAGUGCCAUUGAAUAUAUUCAGUCUCUUGGUUUUGUUUUCAUUGCUGUAGUAACAAUCAUGGUCUACAUAAAUUGGCUUUUUUUUUUUUUUUACAAAGAAAUAUAAGAAAACAUUGUGUCAAUGUUAUAUUAAAUUUUUAAAGGGUGAUGCCAAUUAAAUAAAAAUAUAUAAUGAAAAAUAAGUGGUUGCAUGCUCUGUAUACAUUUGAAUUAACCUUGACAUUGAGGAGGUUUAGAAGAAAAGGCCAAUUUAUAACGACCAUGAUUGAUUUAUUACAGCAAUAAAAACAUAAUCCUCCCAAGGGUGCGAAUAAUUUAAUUUUUUUAUAGAAAUAGAUGUGAUUUUUUUUUCUUAUUAACCAAGUUUGUAAUCUUUAAAAAAAGACCUUCACAGAAACUUGUUCUUUCAGAUGCUUCUUGACAAAGUCAUGUAGCCAGUUAGGGACACUGAUGAUGAGGAUUGUGAUGCUGAGUCACAGGUUUUCUCAGAACAUUCAUUGAAACAGAUACUCUGGUUCAGCUGCUGAGAUUCUGGGCCGGCUGGAAGGUGCUUCCUUCAGAACUCCAAGCGGAGAUUUUGAGGGGAAGUUUCGUACUUCAUCAACGUGCUUGGAGACACUGAAGUUCCCAGCUUGUAUAAAAAACUAUGACGACUUUAAGGAAGCACUUACUUCUGCUAUACACAGUUCACACUUUGGAUUUGUUGAAGUAUUCAGUGGCAGAUGAAUUCGAUGUUAUGUCCAGGAGGGCAUGCUAAUUUGAAGUUCAGUUGUGUAAACCUGUUUUAUUUUUUUUAAACACAUUUCAGCCCUUGGAGGCAUAUAUCAGUUGGACAAAGUUGUUUAUUAAAAUGCUCCACUUAACAAAACAGCUUAGAUGUUCUUGAGGUGUCAUAUAAUGACAGUUUUAACAGACUUAAAACACGUUCUCUUAUUUUCUGAAAGUUUCAAUCGUCAGACCUCUUGAUGCCAGAUCAGCUGGAUUUUGUGAGCUACUGACAUACUUCCACUGAGAUCGAUCUGUCAGUUCUCUGAUCAAAGAGACUCGAUUUGCCACAAACGUUUUAAAACGAAGGACAUCAUUUUCAAUGUAACUCAGUAUCGUAGUACUGUCUGUCCAGAAGACUGAUUUUUCCAAUGGUACUUGAAGCUCUUCUCUCAGCAUCCGAUCA
Girardinichthys multiradiatus is the source of this 3002-nucleotide long non-coding RNA. RefSeq lists it as uncharacterized. The transcript has 3 exons. The record is from RefSeq and is a predicted model, not a curated record. NCBI's taxonomy places the organism in Eukaryota, Metazoa, Chordata, Actinopteri, Cyprinodontiformes, Goodeidae.